UGCCCUUGGCCACAAUUAACUGGAUCAGGAGCAGUUAAUAAAUUGGACACCUAACCUAAGCCUGAAAUUUUGAACCAUGUCUCUGAGUUAGCUGGGCCUUUCCUAAUGGUUCCCAGGAGAGAGAACAUAUAAACUGUAGUUAGCCUAGGGCACAGACAGGCAGAAAGGGCUGAGCUGCAGGGAAACAGGAAUGAAGAAGACCUGGAGCUGAAGCAGAGGAGACCAUGCAGCCCCAGAGAGGGGACUGAGAAGAUGUCAUAUCCUCCGACUGGAGCCUGACUGUUCUACUGUCUUGGGACUGAGAAUAACUCUUGUGCUUGAGGAGGGAAUGCUGUUUACAAUGGUGAUUACUAGAGAUUCAGGAUUUAAGGCAUCAAAUGACAAAAGGGAUGAAGAAUAAAUACAAAUACAUUUUCAUGAAA
Molecule: long non-coding RNA, 422 nt
Organism: Marmota monax (woodchuck)
Lineage: Eukaryota; Metazoa; Chordata; Mammalia; Rodentia; Sciuridae
Exons: 2
Source: RefSeq, a predicted model, not a curated record